CCACACUUCCUUAGGAAUUACCAUUUGUUAAAUGUGCCCCCUCUUUUUCUUUUAUGAAAUGUGAGAAAGACAAACUCGCCAUUCAGUCUAUACAGAGGAUGCUGUGGAUGCUGUGAUACCAUCACGGGAUGCUGUGAUACCAUCGUGCGAGAAAUAAUAGGAUACUCUGUAUAAAAGCUACAAGAGGGAAACCCCAUGUUGGAUUCCUCCAAAAACAGCAAGCUCUUGGAGGAAGGCCCAGGAGGGACCUUAUUUAUUGCUGUUGACACCACAUUCCCUGGGAGCCCACCUUGCACAGGAAAGUUGGAAAUACCUCAGCUUUUUAUGCCAGUCUCACUAACAGCUGCCAAGACAGAUGUGGGCCUCUCAGCUGUAGUCCUUCCUCCUCACGUCCAUAGAGUGUCCGAGAGAGUUAACAGGCUGAAUUCAGAAGAAGCAGGAGUUAGCAUCUUUGUUUUACAGCCAGAGUUUAAUAACUUGAAUUUCCUGCUUCUUUGGAAUUCAUCACCUGCUGUUUGCGGAGCCAGGUGCACCUGCACAGUUUCCUGAGCCCACGCCUACCUGCCGGACUGCCUGCCAGGCCAUUAGCAAGGCCAGUGGACAAACCACACACUUGGGUGUUCUUAGAGUCUGUCACUUUCGUGAUAGUGAGAUGCUCUGGGCUGCCUGCAACCCCUCCCAGUGUUUGCCAGACAACUGAGCUGGAGGCAGGGGUUCAUCUGGAAAAUGCCAGCAAGCAACGGAACGUUCUCAGACACCUUUUACCUAUGAGGACAGUGAGUCAUGGCCCUGAGUUUGUUGGGGUCUUUUUAUUUGCGCCUAUAUAUAUAUAUGCAUUCUCCCAAAGGCUUUGAAUAAGGUACUCCAGCAGGAGAUGCCUGAGCCUUGCUCACACACUCAUCUUGCCCCUUCAGUGCUGACAGCCUUGAAUUCCAACUGCCGACCCCUCCUUUUGUGUCCUGAGGACCUUCCCUUGAGCUGGAGCCCCCCUUUGCCACCUGUGCCACCCGCCUAAGUGCUAGGGAACUUCAUGAAGCCCUGGGGAGCAGCCUCCCCAUAGUGGUGAGCAGGAGUUGGUGUAUAAAUACCCCAGCUCCCUUGCCCCUCAGGUGGGAUGAUCUGAGGUGUGUGUUCUUCAUUGGCUUCCAGAGCUUUCCGAGCAGACUGAAGCUUCAGUCACCCACGGUGGUGGCUGGUUUGAUACUACAUGCUUUCUUGGCUGCCUUCCUUUCCCUGUCUCACUUCACCGUGCCCCUGCCAGCACUCCUGGGAUCAUCUUCCAAAUAAACUGCUCCAUCUGGAAUCUCUGUCUUAGAGUCACAUUCAAGGAAACCCCCCCCCCCCCGGUCCCCAAAGGCCUACCUCUGUCAAUGGGAUGUUGUUGCAGGGGUGGAGGAACAGACACUGGACAUCUGGGAGUUUCCCUCACAAAAUCAGAAUGUGUGACCACUUCUCUAAGCCUGAGCUGUAGUAUACAGUUUGGGGGCCCUCUGAUACACUUUGGGGUUCCUCUGGCUGCCACCCCCAACCCAGGAGUGGUGGGCUGAUAGGAAACCCAGCCAGAGGCAUUCAGAACGCAUGCCCAGGGGGACAGAGAUUAUGCAAUGCUAGGACAGUGGUAUAAAGGAGGCCCCAUCAUGUUCUGCUGCCACCACCAUCAUGGGCAUCCUCCUGCCCCGUCUCCUAUCUGGGAGGAAGGAGGUGGAGACAUAAUAGAGGAAGUAGAUUCGGGGAGAAGAAUGGGAAGAAAAAGCAAAAGGCCUUUCUGCAUCCUUCUCAUUUAGAUUCAACUUAUUUUUUUUUUCCCUGAAGUAUAUUUUUUAGUGUUUCUUUCGAGGAGGAUCUACUAGAAGCAAACUUUGCAUUUUUAUUUGAGUAAAGAUGUCUUUAUUUUGUUCUUGCUCUUGAAUAGCAUAGCAGUUUGGCUACACUCCACAGUCGACGUUGGUCGUUGUGUGCUGUCAGCGUGUACGUUGCCUCCUGGCUUCUCUAGCUGAUACUGCGGACGCUGUUUUCAGUCGGACGGUUGUUGUUUUGCAGGUAAGCCUGUUUCUUUGUGUUUUAAUUUCCAGUGUCUCUGUCCUGAGAGAUUAAAUCCCUCAUCCCUUGCUAAUUUCUGCAGUUUCAUUUUCGUCUGUCUGGGU
RNAcentral lists this long non-coding RNA (2144 nucleotides) under Canis lupus familiaris (dog). RNAcentral describes it as "lncRNA (ENSCAFG00000040014.3)". The record is from RNAcentral. Lineage: Eukaryota; Metazoa; Chordata; Mammalia; Carnivora; Canidae.